Molecule: ribosomal RNA, 198 nt
Filed under: Trichoderma inhamatum
Lineage: Eukaryota; Fungi; Ascomycota; Sordariomycetes; Hypocreales; Hypocreaceae
Source: RNAcentral
CCGAGUUUACAACUCCCAAACCCAAUGUGAACGUUACCAAACUGUUGCCUCGGCGGGAUCUCUGCCCCGGGUGCGUCGCAGCCCCGGACCAAGGCGCCGCCGGAGGACCAACCAAAACUCUUUUUGUAUACCCCCUCGCGGGUUUUUUAUAAUCUGAGCCUUCUCGGCGCCUCUCGUAGGCGUUUCGAAAAUGAAUCA